GACGGAGGGUGCUAGCGUUGUUCGGAAUUACUGGGCGUAAAGGGCGCGUAGGCGGCCUCUUAAGUCGGGUGUGAAAGCCCGGGGCUCAACCCCGGAACGGCACCCGAGACUGCGGGGCUGGAGACCGGAAGAGGUGAGUGGAAUACCCAGUGUAGAGGUGAAAUUCGUAGAUAUUGGGUGGAACACCGGUGGCGAAAGCGGCUCACUGGUCCGGUUCUGACGCUGAGGCGCGAAAGCGUGGGGAGCAAACAGG
RNAcentral lists this ribosomal RNA (253 nucleotides) under uncultured bacterium. RNAcentral's name for it is "partial 16S ribosomal RNA". It matches the Rfam family "Bacterial small subunit ribosomal RNA", at positions 524 to 776 of the family's 1533-position model. The record is from RNAcentral.